GAGGGUAAAGCUCAGUGGCAGAGUGCCUGCUUAGCAUGCACAAGGUCCUGGGUUCAAUCCCCAAUACCUCCA
RNAcentral lists this transfer RNA (72 nucleotides) under Camelus bactrianus (Bactrian camel). It matches the Rfam family "tRNA". Rfam says of the family: Transfer RNA (tRNA) molecules are approximately 80 nucleotides in length. Their secondary structure includes four short double-helical elements and three loops (D, anti-codon, and T loops). Further hydrogen bonds mediate the characteristic L-shaped molecular structure. tRNAs have two regions of fundamental functional importance: the anti-codon, which is responsible for specific mRNA codon recognition, and the 3' end, to which the tRNAs corresponding amino acid is attached (by aminoacyl-tRNA synthetases). tRNAs cope with the degeneracy of the genetic code in two manners: having more than one tRNA (with a specific anti-codon) for a particular amino acid; and 'wobble' base-pairing, i.e. permitting non-standard base-pairing at the 3rd anti-codon position. Lineage: Eukaryota; Metazoa; Chordata; Mammalia; Artiodactyla; Camelidae. RNAcentral also lists the same sequence under 2 other names. The record is from Rfam by way of RNAcentral.